UCACAAUCGUUCACAGUGGUCAAGACUUC
Molecule: non-coding RNA, 29 nt
Filed under: Mus musculus (house mouse)
Lineage: Eukaryota; Metazoa; Chordata; Mammalia; Rodentia; Muridae
Source: RNAcentral